CCCUGGUAGACCACCAGGUUGAUAGGGCGCAGGUGCAAGCGGGGCGACCCGCUCAGCCGAGCGCUACUAAUCGCCCGAGCUCUUCCUUAU
Molecule: ribosomal RNA, 90 nt
Filed under: Eggerthellaceae bacterium
Lineage: Bacteria; Bacillati; Actinomycetota; Coriobacteriia; Eggerthellales; Eggerthellaceae
Description: partial 23S ribosomal RNA
Rfam family: Bacterial large subunit ribosomal RNA
Source: RNAcentral